UACGGAGGGAGCUAGCGUUAAUCGGAUUUACUGGGUGUAAAGGGCGCGUAGGCGGCAUGAUGUGAGCGGUGUGAAAGCCCCGGGCUUAACCUGGGAAGCGCACUGCAGACUGUCGUGCUGGAGUACAUGAGAGGGUGGCGGAAUUUCCGGUGGAGCGGUGAAAUGCGUAGAGAUCGGAAAGAACACCAACGGCGAAAGCACUCUGCUGGGCCGACACUGACACUGAGAGACGAAAGCUAGGGGAGCGAAUGGG
RNAcentral lists this ribosomal RNA (253 nucleotides) under uncultured bacterium. RNAcentral's name for it is "partial 16S ribosomal RNA". It matches the Rfam family "Bacterial small subunit ribosomal RNA", at positions 524 to 776 of the family's 1533-position model. The record is from RNAcentral.